CAGUAGCCGCGGGAAUACAUAGGGUGCAAGCGUUAAUCGGAAUUACUGGGCGUAAAGCGUGCGCAGGCGGUCUGUUAAGACAGAUGUGAAAUCCCCGGGCUCAACCUGGGAACUGCAUUUGUGACUGGCAAGCUAGAGUGUGGCAGAGGGGGGUGGAAUUCCGCGUGUAGCAGUGAAAUGCGUAGAUAUGCGGAGGAACACCGAUGGCGAAGGCAGCCCCCUGGGCCAACACUGACGCUCAUGCACGAAAGCGUGGGGAGCAAACAGGAUUAGAUACCCCUGUAGUCCCUGUCUCUUAUAC
Molecule: ribosomal RNA, 301 nt
Filed under: uncultured bacterium
Lineage: Bacteria
Description: partial 16S ribosomal RNA
Rfam family: Bacterial small subunit ribosomal RNA
Source: RNAcentral